This 595-nucleotide ribosomal RNA is filed under the name uncultured Bacteroidota bacterium. Its description in RNAcentral is "bacterial SSU rRNA". It matches the Rfam family "Bacterial small subunit ribosomal RNA", at positions 122 to 715 of the family's 1533-position model. The record is from RNAcentral. Lineage: Bacteria; Pseudomonadati; Bacteroidota.
CAACCUACCUAUCAGAGGGGAAUAACCCGGCGAAAGUCGGACUAAUACCGCAUAAAACAGGGGCACCGCAUGGUGAUAUUUGUUAAAGAAAUUCGCUGAUAGAUGGGCAUGCGUUCCAUUAGGUAGUUGGUGAGGUAACGGCUCACCAAGCCGACGAUGGAUAGGGGAACUGAGAGGUUGGUCCCCCACACUGGUACUGGGACACGGACCAGACUCCUACGGGAGGCAGCAGUGAGGAAUAUUGGUCAAUGGGCGGGAGCCUGAACCAGCCAAGUCGCGUGAAGGAAGAAGGAUCUAUGGUUCGUAAACUUCUUUUGCAGGGGAAUAAAGUGCAGGACGUGUCCUGUUUUGUAUGUACCCUGAGAAUAAGGAUCGGCUAACUCCGUGCCAGCAGCCGCGGUAAUACGGAGGACCCGAGCGUUAUCCGGAUUUAUUGGGUUUAAAGGGUGCGUAGGUGGUUUGAUAAGUCAGCGGUGAAAGUUUGCAGCUUAACUGUAAAAUUGCAGUUGAUACUGGGUGUCUUGAGUACAGUAGAGGCAGGCGGAAUUCGUGGUGUAGCGGUGAAAUGCUUAGAUAUCACGAAGAACUCCGAUUG